RNAcentral lists this ribosomal RNA (397 nucleotides) under uncultured bacterium. RNAcentral describes it as "bacterial SSU rRNA". It matches the Rfam family "Bacterial small subunit ribosomal RNA", at positions 108 to 518 of the family's 1533-position model. The record is from RNAcentral.
GAGUAACGCGUGAGCGACCAACCUUGCACAGGGGGAUAACGGACCGAAAGGUUCACUAAUACCGCAUGAGACCACGGUGUUGCAUGACACAGAGGUCAAAGGAGCAAUCCGGUGCAAGACGGGCUCGCGUCCGAUUAGGUAGUUGAGGGUAACGGCCACCAAGCCUAUGAUCGGUAGCCGACCUGAGAGGGUGAUCGGCCACAUUGGAACUGAGAUACGGUCCAAACGUCCUACGGGAGGCAGCAGGUGGGGAAUAUUGGGCAAAAUGGGGGAAACCCUGACCCAGCAACGCCGCGUGAAGGAAGAAGGUUUUCGGAUUGUAAACUUCUGUCCUUGGUGAAGAGAAGAAGACGGUAGCCAAGGAGGAAGCCCCGGCUAACUACGUGCCAGCAGCGGC